AGGUAUCAGGAGUAACGCCCUGAUUGAAAAGGGAAUACGGUGAGAAUCCGUAACAGACCCGCUGCUGUAAGUCCGCACACUCAUUUAGAGUUGAGAGUUGAGUGUGUUUUUCGCAAACAAUCCACUGAUAGGGGGCAACCCUAUUGGGAAGGAGGCGAAAUAGGAUAAGUCAGAAGACCUGCCUAUUGUU
RNAcentral lists this non-coding RNA (190 nucleotides) under pig gut metagenome. The record is from RNAcentral.